This 497-nucleotide ribosomal RNA is filed under the name uncultured bacterium. RNAcentral describes it as "partial 16S ribosomal RNA". It matches the Rfam family "Bacterial small subunit ribosomal RNA", at positions 34 to 507 of the family's 1533-position model. The record is from RNAcentral.
UAUUACCACUGGCGGCGUGCCUAAUACAUGCAAGUCGAGCGAACAGACGAGGAGCUUGCUCCUCUGACGUUAGCGGCGGACGGGUGAGUAACACGUGGAUAACCUACCUAUAAGACUGGGAUAACUUCGGGAAACCGGAGCUAAUACCGGAUAAUAUAUUGAACCGCAUGGUUCAAUAGUGAAAGACGGUUUUGCUGUCACUUAUAGAUGGAUCCGCGCCGCAUUAGCUAGUUGGUAAGGUAACGGCUUACCAAGGCAACGAUGCGUAGCCGACCUGAGAGGGUGAUCGGCCACACUGGAACUGAGACACGGUCCAGACUCCUACGGGAGGCAGCAGUAGGGAAUCUUCCGCAAUGGGCGAAAGCCUGACGGAGCAACGCCGCGUGGGUGAUGAAGGUCUUCGGAUCGUAAAACUCUGUUAUUAGGGAAGAACAAAUGUGUAAGUAACUAUGCACGUCUUGACGGUACCUAAUCAGAAAGCCACGGCUAACUACGUG